This 1026-nucleotide ribosomal RNA is filed under the name Pedobacter sp. 4cultural_74. Its description in RNAcentral is "bacterial SSU rRNA". It matches the Rfam family "Bacterial small subunit ribosomal RNA", at positions 238 to 1268 of the family's 1533-position model. Lineage: Bacteria; Pseudomonadati; Bacteroidota; Sphingobacteriia; Sphingobacteriales; Sphingobacteriaceae. The record is from RNAcentral.
UCAUUAGCUAGUUGCCGGGUAACGGCCCACCAAGGGGACGAUGAUUAGGGGUUUGAGAGGAUGACCCCCCACACUGGUACUGAGACACGGACCAGAUUCCUACGGGAGGCAGCAGUAAGGAAUAUUGGUCAAUGGAGGGAACUCUGAACCAGCCAUGCCGCGUGCAGGAAGACAGCCCUCUGGGUCGUAAACUGCUUUUAUUCGGGAAUAAACCUACUUACGUGUAAGUAGCUGAAUGUACCGAAGGAAUAAGGAUCGGCUAACUCCGUGCCAGCAGCCGCGGUAAUACGGAGGAUCCAAGCGUUAUCCGGAUUUAUUGGGUUUAAAGGGUGCGUAGGCGGCUUAUUAAGUCAGGGGUGAAAGACGGUGGCUCAACCAUCGCAGUGCCCUUGAUACUGAUGAGCUUGAAUACACUAGAGGUAGGCGGAAUGUGACAAGUAGCGGUGAAAUGCAUAGAUAUGUCACAGAACACCGAUUGCGAAGGCAGCUUACUAUGGUGUUAUUGACGCUGAGGCACGAAAGCGUGGGGAUCAAACAGGAUUAGAUACCCUGGUAGUCCACGCCCUAAACGAUGAAUACUCGCUGUUAGCGAUAUACAGUUAGCGGCUAAGCGAAAGCGUUAAGUAUUCCACCUGGGGAGUACGCCCGCAAGGGUGAAACUCAAAGGAAUUGACGGGGGCCCGCACAAGCGGAGGAGCAUGUGGUUUAAUUCGAUGAUACGCGAGGAACCUUACCCGGGCUUGAAAGUUAGUGAAUGAUCUAGAGAUAGAUCAGUGAGCAAUCACACGAAACUAGGUGCUGCAUGGCUGUCGUCAGCUCGUGCCGUGAGGUGUUGGGUUAAGUCCCGCAACGAGCGCAACCCCUAUGUUUAGUUGCCAGCACGUUAAGGUGGGGACUCUAAACAGACUGCCUGUGCAAACAGAGAGGAAGGAGGGGACGACGUCAAGUCAUCAUGGCCCUUACGUCCGGGGCUACACACGUGCUACAAUGGAUGGUACAGAGGGCAGCAAGCUGGCAACAGCAAGC